This 560-nucleotide unclassified non-coding RNA is filed under the name Melitaea cinxia (Glanville fritillary). RNAcentral describes it as "misc RNA ENSMCXG00005000491.1". The record is from RNAcentral. Lineage: Eukaryota; Metazoa; Arthropoda; Insecta; Lepidoptera; Nymphalidae.
AGUCACGUGGCGCGUUCGCCGGGGGCGCAUCACUCUUAAGGGUGGUAUCGCUGCGAGAACUAAAACAAACACGACCAAGAAGUAUAUGCCAAUAACAGUGAAAAAGUGAAAAACUUAGGCAACUAUUUCGUUCAGUCAAGUUGUAUAAAAUCCUUAAGAGUGAUGUCCUCCGGAAAGAUAUAAUUAACUAUAGGUACUUAAAAAUUAUAUUAAUUGAAGCUUUAUAUUGAAUUCUACGAUUCUCUACAAGAUAAUAGAGAUAUUGUAUUAAAUACAACAACCUAUCUAAAGAAUAUCAAUAUAAGACAUAUCAAGUUAAAAUUAUCAUAUAGGUCUUAAGGUAUAAUGUAUAGCGUAGGAUAAUACUUAAAUUAUUUUAUCUUCGUGUGUCAAAUACAUAAAAUAUUGUGGAGGCUGCUAUUGGUGGAUGAACAUCUAGAUCUGUGGAAGUAUAGACCAAUGACGGCUGAGGUUACGCGCAGCCGUAGCUACGCCGUAGAGCGGCGCGGGGCGCUACACGAUCGACAGACGCUACGACGGACCUGCUACGCCUAGGAACA